CGCUGUGGCCCAGCGGCGCAGGCGGCUGGAGCGGCGGCCGCGACGCUGGAGGCUUCGUGGAGAAUCACCGCCUGCAGCACCUCGGUCGUCCCACUGCAGUCUGUGCCCCCCGCCCGGCUCACCGGUGCUCCCUGGGACCCGCGUGGCUGCGGCGGCCCGGGAGCCGAUGCGGCUGGGCGGGCACUGGGCCUCAGAAGCCCCCGCCGCCGCCGCAGCGACCACAUCCCCUUCAGGAGUGCGAGGCUUUGCGGCGGCCCCUGUAGCCGCGCCGGUGCCCUCCUGGGGAGGAGACUUUCGGCUCGGGGACGACUCCCCCCGGCCAUGGUGAAGCGACGGCGGCCACAGCCGAGGUGAGUGCGGCGCGACCCUGUCCCGGGCUCGCCAG
Molecule: long non-coding RNA, 385 nt
Filed under: Marmota monax (woodchuck)
Lineage: Eukaryota; Metazoa; Chordata; Mammalia; Rodentia; Sciuridae
Source: RNAcentral